GAUGAACGCUGGCGGCGUGCCUAAUACAUGCAAGUCGAGCGAACGGACGAGAAGCUUGCUUUUCUGAUGUUAGCGGCGGACGGGGGAGUAACACGUGGAUAACCUACCUAUAAGACUGGGAUAACUUCGGGAAACCGGAGCUAAUACCGGAUAAUAUUUUGAACCGCAUGGUUCAAAAGUGAAAGACGGUCUUGCUGUCACUUAUAGAUGGAUCCGCGCUGCAUUAGCUAGUUGGUAAGGUAACGGCUUACCAAGGCAACGAUGCAUAGCCGACCUGAGAGGGUGAUCGGCCACACUGGAACUGAGACACGGUCCAGACUCCUACGGGAGGCAGCAGUAGGGAAUCUUCCGCAAUGGGCGAAAGCCUGACGGAGCAACGCCGCGUGAGUGAUGAAGGUCUUCGGAUCGUAAAACUCUGUUAUUAGGGGAGAACAUAUGUGUAAGUAACUGUGCACAUCUUGACGGUACCUAAUCAGAAAGCCACGGCUAACUACGUG
RNAcentral lists this ribosomal RNA (497 nucleotides) under uncultured bacterium. Its description in RNAcentral is "partial 16S ribosomal RNA". It matches the Rfam family "Bacterial small subunit ribosomal RNA", at positions 28 to 507 of the family's 1533-position model. The record is from RNAcentral.